RNAcentral lists this ribosomal RNA (433 nucleotides) under uncultured bacterium. Its description in RNAcentral is "partial 16S ribosomal RNA". It matches the Rfam family "Bacterial small subunit ribosomal RNA", at positions 29 to 507 of the family's 1533-position model. The record is from RNAcentral.
AACGAACGCUGGCGGCAGGCCUAACACAUGCAAGUCGAGCGAGGACUUCGGUCCUAGCGGCGGACGGGUGAGUAACGCGUGGGAACGUGCCCUUUGCUUCGGAAUAGCCCUGGGAAACUGGGAGUAAUACCGGAUGAGCCCUUUGGGGGAAAGAUUUAUCGGCGAAGGAUCGGCCCGCGUUGGAUUAGGUAGUUGGUGGGGUAAUGGCCUACCAAGCCGACGAUCCAUAGCUGGUUUGAGAGGAUGAUCAGCCACACUGGGACUGAGACACGGCCCAGACUCCUACGGGAGGCAGCAGUGGGGAAUCUUAGACAAUGGGGGAAACCCUGAUCUAGCCAUGCCGCGUGAGCGAUGAAGGCCUUAGGGUUGUAAAGCUCUUUCAGCUGGGAAGAUAAUGACGGUACCAGCAGAAGAAGCCCCGGCUAACUCCGUG